RNAcentral lists this long non-coding RNA (4858 nucleotides) under Nicotiana tabacum (common tobacco). Its description in RNAcentral is "long non-coding RNA (NTAB_LNC006586)". The record is from RNAcentral. Lineage: Eukaryota; Viridiplantae; Streptophyta; Magnoliopsida; Solanales; Solanaceae.
CCUGAAUGGAUUGAAGGUAGCCACCUCAUUACGGUCCAAAAACUGCAGCAUCGGGAUCUGCACACAGUAUAGAGUGUAGUAUCAGCACAACUGACCCCAUAUGCUGGUAAGUGCCUAGCCUAAUCUCAAUGAAGUAGUGACAAGGCUAGGACCAGACUACCAAAUAAACUUGUGCAGUUAAAUCAUAUACAUCGGAAAAUAAAGGCAAAAUGUACAGUUAUGGAUAGGAGGGGGAAACAUGCUGCGGGGAACAUAAAAUAAUAACAGAAGAACAUCAGAUAAAUAUAAGGAACGCCAAAUUUCAAUUAUCAACAAGAAUCGGAAAUAAAAGACAAGUGCACGACAUCACCCUUCGUGCUUUUACUCUCGUCCUCACCAUAAAAAUCAAUAAAAUUGCACGGCAUCAUCCUUUGUGCUUUUACCUCACAUAAUCAUGGCACGAAAUGAUCCUUCGUGCAUUAUCACUCAUAUCAUGGCACAAAAUUGUACAUCGUGCAGUACGGCAUCACCCUUCAUGCUUUUACCUCACAAUAUCGGCACGACAUCACCCUUCGUGCAUUAAUACUCUCAAAAUCAUACACGGUAUCACCCUUCUUGCUUUACACACUUCCUCACCCAAGAAACAAUCACAAAGCAAUUUGGGCAAGUGAAUUAAUAAUAUUUCAAUAAAAUCCCGGCUAGGGAACAAUAGCAUAACAACAUCCCGGAAAGGGAAACAAUAUCAUGAAUGAUAGCGUCCCGGCAAGGGAGAUAAUAUUAUAAACCUCUUCUCUUUUCCACAAUUUCCUCACAACUCAUUUCUCAACUUGAGCCAACGCUCUACAAUGAUCAAUUACCAACAAUACUUUCACAAGUCUUGUUCAACAAUAGAAAGCAUCAUAUAAAGCAUGAACAAUACGAAACAGAACCACAUUAAUCAUAUUAUAAGACUCACGGGCAUGCUUGACACCAACGUAUAGAUACUCGUCACCAUGCCUAUAUGUAGUACUCAACAAUUAACACAUAGCAAAUAAGACAUGACUCCUAAUCCCUCAAGCUAAAGUUAGACCAAACACUUACCUCGAUGCCAUGAAUACAAUUACUCAAGCCUCAACUACCGCUUUACCUCUUGUUUCCACCACUAAUUCGCUUGUAUCUAGCCAUAAUUUACUUAAUGAUAUCAAUAAAUGCUAAAUGAAUCAAUUAUAAUGCAUGAAAAUAGGUUUUAUAAAGAUUUUUCCAAAAAUUAAAAAAUCUACCCCGGGCCCACAUGGUCAAAACCCGAGGUUUGAACCAAAAACUGAUUACCCAUUCACCUAAAUAUAUAAUUUAUUUUGAAAUCGGACCUCAAAUUGAGGUCCAAAUCCCCAAAAUUUGAAAAACCUAAGUUCUACCCAAAACACCUAAUUUCCCCAAUGAAAACCCUUGAUUUUGGAUUGAAAUCAUGUGAAAAGAUGUUAUAGAUUAAAGAAAAUGAGUUAGAAAUGACUUACAAUUGGUUUGGAGAUGUACUUUUCUUUAGAAAAUCGCCCAAAAGUGUUUAGGUUUUGAAAAAGUUUGAAAAAUGCAGCAAAAUGUGUCUAAGUCCCAAUUAACUGGUCUCUGAUGUCGCAUUUGCAACCAGGGUUUGCAACUACAAACCCUUAAGAAACCUGCUAUCUUCACAAAUGCGAAGAAAUUGUCGCAUUUGCGACCACUCAAAAAUCCUGAAGGCUUCACAUUUGCGAGACAUCUAUCGCAUUUGCGACUCAGGCCCUUCCGCAUUUGUGAUAAAAUGGUCACAUUUGCGAUCAAGGCCUGCCCAGACCAUCUUCGUAAAUGCGAUACUACUUUGCAAAUGCAAGCUCACAUUUACGAGUCAGUGCGAAGCCUUCAGACCUGCAACACACCAGCAAUUUUCCUAAGUCUAAAUUCACUCUGUGGCCUAUCCAAAACUUAUCUGAGCCCUCGGGGCUCCAAACCAAACAUGCACCCUAACCUAAAAAUAUUAUACGGACUUACUCGCGCAAUCAAAUCAUCAAAAUAACAUCAACAGCUAUGAGUUAAACCCAAAAUUGAUAAAAUCAUUCAAUAACACCAAAAUUUCCAAUUUCUCAAGUUUAGGUCCAUUUUAUACCAAACCAAUUCCGAUCUUUACCAAAUUUUAUAGAUUGAACCUAAUUAUUAUUUCAAACUUGUACCGGGCUUUGGAACCGCAAUAUGGGCCCGAUACCAUCAAGUUCAAAUAUCUUUCAUUUCGAAAAACUCUUAUAUGUUACAGAAAAUAAUUAUCUUUAACAAUUCAUUUCUUGGGCUUGGGAUCUCGGAAGUCGAUUUCGGGCAUAUGCCCAAGUCCCAAAUUUUACUACGGACUCUACGAGACCAUCGGAUCAUGGGUCCGGGUCUGUUUUCUAAGAAUGUUGAGCAAAGUCAACUUUAUUCAAUUUUAAAAGUAAAUUUCCUUAUUUCACUUAGUUGUCACACAAAAACUUUCUGGAAAUGCGCCCGGAUUGCGCACGCAAAUCGGGUGAGACAAAAAGAUGUUUUUAAUGCCUCGGAUCACAUAAUUUACUUUGAAAACGAGUGAUGACCUUUCGGUUAUCACAUGUUUAUAGAAUUCAUUAUCUACCUAGUUUCAGAUUCGAUGUUAUAGACGGAGAUUGAGGCAUGAAUGUCGGAAGUGAUAUACAUUUGUAUCAAAUAAGCCCAAAAAUGUUUCAACUAGGUGAUCCUUUUUGUAAGGUUUAACAAUUAUAUCACUUGCAAGAUAAAAAAAGCCCAAAAUAGAAUUCGAACUAAGACAAAAAAAAGCCCGUUGAUUUCUUUUCACAACACACUAAGUUUUAGCUUUCAAGAAUUCCAAUAGGGACACAAGCCUUCAAAAAAAUGAGCCCAACAAUAGUAUUUCAUCUAUGGUGCAACACUGACACUAAUGUGGUAUGCAACAAAAUAUAAAGUGUGAAAUUAAUCAUGAAUCGUACAGAUUAUUGGACUUAAUUCGAUUUGCAAAAUAAUUAAUCAUGAAUCAUGUAAGUUAUCAACUCAACUUGAUUUACAAGAUAAUUAACAAUGAAUCAUAUAAAUUAUCGAACUCAACUUUAAUUACAAGAUUUUCUAGCAAAUUCUAGAUUAAGGCUACGACCAUACUAGAUUUCAAAAUAGAUACAUGAUCUGGGCUCCUGUGGCUUUCCAAUCCCUCAACAAGUCUUGAGUUUACAAAGGCACCUACAAAACUGCUUUUCAAAUCAGCAUCUUGUCCAUCACAUGUCAAAACAAUUGAAGCAACAAGUGAGGAUCCAAAUGAUUUCGAAACUUUCUUUCUUUUAUUUUAGGAUUUCAUAUGUAAAAGGGGAAUUGAGAGACUUUAUAACAAAUAACAUCUAUCUGUAUGAUGCUUCAAUAAUUAGAGACUUGCAAAUAGCACAAGUAUGGCAAUUAAGCAUUAUAAAUUCAUGAAAAAGCUAAACUUAAAUAUGACAUGAACAUAUCAAGUUUUACCCAUAAUAGCAAAUGGAGAAUGGUAAGUGGAUAUUUAUAUACCUAGCAGCAAAGAAACAGAAAGAAAUGGCCAAAUAUGAUCAAAUUUCGAAAGCAAAACCAGCUUGAUUGAAUAGGAGUAAUCAGUAGCAGUAAUCAACAAAGAAACGAGCUCAACUUCAGCAGCUUCUAAAAUCCAGAAAAUGUUUCCUAACACCCUCCUUAUGAUCUCUUUCCUUGUUUUUUCUACUCUCUUUUUGUGUUUUUGUUUUUCUUGAAAUUUAAAUUCCUAGACCUAUGAGUGAAUAAGAAUAAGAAUGGAUUUUUCAGAAUCAGUUCUCUAUUAUAAAAAUGCAGAUUAUGUAGAUAAGAGAAUGACUAAGACAGACGAGUGUGAGUGUAUGUGUGUGUGUGUGUGUCUAUAUAUAUAUAUAUAUAUAUAUUGAAUGAAUGAGAGCCCGUGAGAAAGGGAAUCUAGCAGUGUGAAAUCAGGGGGAAUGAGAGAGGGGAGGAGAAUAUUUGUAACUGAAAAUGCCAGUUGCCUUUCUAUCGUUAAUUCUUUUCCCUUAUUCUCCUUUUCUUUUAUUUAAUUCUUUCCAAACCCGAGCCCUUCUUUCUUUUGCAAAAAUGGACCUUUCUAUUCCUUUCAUAAACCAAAUUGGGCCUGGGUUGGGUGCCCAUGGUCAAAUGGCCCAUAACAAACCAGCCCAAACGAAAUGAAAGAAAUCGGAAGAUCAAACAGAUAAAAGACAAAAAGCAAGCAGUUAUAUUUUCACAUUUCAAAUUAAAGUGAUUUUGAUAAUGCAACUAACCUAAUCAAACAAAAUAAACAUUUUAAUAAUUAAUCACAAUUUAGAAAUUUUAUAGAAAAGGGAGAAGGUGAAAUAAAGAAAACGAGGAAGGAAUUACCUAAAUAGGCCUCUAUUUGGAAUCCAUCGGUCAUACUGGGAAUUGAACUUAUUAUCAAUUGACUGCUCUUAUAAAGACCAAUCAACUGAUGUUGAUUUUGAAUUCACAAGGCUAAGCUUAGAGAAAAAGUCAAUGAUAGGAGCUAAAUAGGUUCUGAUGAAUCUAAGAUCUAAAAAUCGAGGAAUUGUAGUUUUUUUAGGGAAAUCUGUAAGUGGAUUAGUGGUGAGGGGAGGUUGAAUAUUGUAUGGUGAGAGUUUGGGUGUGUUUGAGGGUUGUGUCGUUGACAGGGGUGGCUUAGGAAAGGAAAGUUACUAGGGUUAGAUAUUUUGAGAGAGAUGAGUGAAAUGGAAGGGUGUUUUGGGUUUUGGGGAUGGCUUUGGAUAAUUAUAGCGAUGAGGAUGGGGAGUUCCUGGCCGUAGGACCAUAUUAAAUGAACGACCAUGAUUAAUCUUUACUAAAACAACAUCGUUUGGGGCAUUAAAAGGCAGGAGCGGAUUGGAUUUGUGGAGAUUAG